ACCAGCAGGCACGUCCCCGCUUGGAGACUGUCUGGGGUCUGUCUGAAAUUGAUAAAAAUUGGAGAUGGAGUUUUAAUUUGCAUCUGUUUUCACAAUUGUUCGAGGAAGACGCUCGUUGGAAAUGGAUUUUUAUUUCUCGCGCUACUCCUAGAGAACGCCUUCGCCAAAAAGAGUCGCCUUGCUGAGAUAUACAUGUAUUUUCUGUAAACGCUGUGAAAGUUUUUUCUCCUGCAGUGUGUCAGCAGCAGACAGCUCUUUAUUCCCAGGCUCUGCAGGGGAUCAUCCGUCAGCCUUGAGUUCAGGAGGAGUGCACCAUCCAGACUGCAGCCUGCACAAGGGCCUGAUCCAGUGUCUCACACAAAUGACUGGUAUUGCAAUUAGCUAAGAGACCCAGGGUUGUCCUGCAGCCUGUCAUGCCUCCAUGCCCUCUCCGUUGCAGUGUGACCGCCCCAUGGUCUGGCUGCCACUUCACAACAACUCCAUUGCAACAACUGCCUGGUGGAGAAUGUUAAGUGCAGAGUGGACGAGGAGGAAGAUGUCAUGCUAAGGAUGGGUUUUGGUGAUGAUGUUGCUGCUGUUGAUGCUCUCACUUUGUGCCUCUGUCAGUUGUGAUGCGUAACCACAGAGUGAGUGACAGUUGGGUCCCGAGGGAGAGCAGGGGGCCUGAGUUCUGUGACAGAAGCUUUCAGAGGAGGAGGAGGUGGAGGACUGACCGUCGUGGAAACAUCGCUCUCUGCCGUUAGACGUGGCGUUCAAAGACUAGCGGUGCAAGUAUGGAAAUGCAGAUAAGGCAUUGUUGUGGAAACAUGCCUGGGAAUUGUACAAGGCCCCCCCCCCCUUCACCACCACCACCAACAACCACCACCCCCCUUUUGCAUAAUGUUUGCAUGCUUUUUUGCAAAUGUUUUAAUCUCAGAAGCCAUGAAUUUGAUCCUGUGUGAAUGCGAUGCAGAACCGCCCAUGAGUGAAUGAGUGGGAGAGGAUUGUCAUGCCAUGCAAAUGAAUAAUAUGUGAUUAUAUUUGGGAGUAUUUGACAUCUAGGCAACUAUUUUUGUAUAUAUCUGCCUAAUUUAAGCUAAUAAUGCAUGUUGUUUUCCAGAUUUGAAUGCGUGCAGAAGCUCAGCGUUGAUUUGAGGUCACACUUUGUGUUUGUUUUUUACAAAAGAUGCCAGAAACAUGUUUGUGUAUAAUCUUCAAGGUUUUAUUAACUCUUCUUUUGCAGUGUUCAGGAGGCAGUUAAUUACACAAUUAAUACAUGAUACAAAUUAUGUACACUUAUA
Long non-coding RNA from Notothenia coriiceps (black rockcod), 1280 nucleotides. RefSeq lists it as uncharacterized. NCBI's taxonomy places the organism in Eukaryota, Metazoa, Chordata, Actinopteri, Perciformes, Nototheniidae. The transcript is spliced from 7 exons. The record is from RefSeq and is a predicted model, not a curated record.